UACGUAGGGUGCGAGCGUUGUCCGGAAUUAUUGGGCGUAAAGGGCUCGUAGGCGGUCUGUCGCGUCGGGAGUGAAAACUCAGGGCUUAACCCUGAGCCUGCUUCCGAUACGGGCAGACUAGAGGUAUGCAGGGGAGAACGGAAUUCCUGGUGUAGCGGUGAAAUGCGCAGAUAUCAGGAGGAGCACCGGUGGCGAAGGCGGUUCUCUGGGCAUUGCCUGACGCUGAGGAGCGAAAGUGUGGGAAGCGAACAGG
Molecule: ribosomal RNA, 253 nt
Filed under: uncultured bacterium
Lineage: Bacteria
Description: partial 16S ribosomal RNA
Rfam family: Bacterial small subunit ribosomal RNA
Source: RNAcentral